GGUGCCAUAGCUCAGCUGGGAGAGCACCUGCUUUGCACGCAGUGGGUCAGCGGUUCGAUCCCGCUUGGCUCCACCA
RNAcentral lists this transfer RNA (76 nucleotides) under Francisella tularensis subsp. holarctica. RNAcentral describes it as "tRNA-Ala". It matches the Rfam family "tRNA". Rfam says of the family: Transfer RNA (tRNA) molecules are approximately 80 nucleotides in length. Their secondary structure includes four short double-helical elements and three loops (D, anti-codon, and T loops). Further hydrogen bonds mediate the characteristic L-shaped molecular structure. tRNAs have two regions of fundamental functional importance: the anti-codon, which is responsible for specific mRNA codon recognition, and the 3' end, to which the tRNAs corresponding amino acid is attached (by aminoacyl-tRNA synthetases). tRNAs cope with the degeneracy of the genetic code in two manners: having more than one tRNA (with a specific anti-codon) for a particular amino acid; and 'wobble' base-pairing, i.e. permitting non-standard base-pairing at the 3rd anti-codon position. Lineage: Bacteria; Pseudomonadati; Pseudomonadota; Gammaproteobacteria; Thiotrichales; Francisellaceae. The record is from RNAcentral.